UGGAUGAUCCUUGGUAACAACUGGCCAACU
This 30-nucleotide non-coding RNA is filed under the name Mus musculus (house mouse). The record is from RNAcentral. Lineage: Eukaryota; Metazoa; Chordata; Mammalia; Rodentia; Muridae.